UUUUUUUUUAAUUAUAGAUAGACAAAAUACCUUUAUUUUAUUUAUUUAUUUUUAUGUGGUGCUGAGGAUCAAACCCAGGGCCUCACACAUGCUAGGCAAGUGCUCUACCACUGAGCCACAACCCCAGCCCAUAGUGUGUUUUCUUACAAAUAGUAAUUUAUUAUCUUUUUCUUAUUUGAUUAUUAGUAGGUUUUUAUUUGCUUCGUUUUUGCAGUACUGGGGAUUGAACCCAGUGCCUCCUGCAUACAAGCAAGGGCUCUACCACACUGGGCUAUCACCUCAGACCAUCAGCAGAUUUUGAGUCUGUAUAAUAUGAGUCUUCUGUAAAAUGAUGUGAAAAUCAAAUAUUACUUACUUUGUGAGGAACUGGGGAUUGAACUCAGGGGCUCUCUGAUACUGAGCUACACCCUCAUCCUUUUUUAAAAAAAUUUUUUUCAGACAGGGUCUUAUUAAGUUGCCCAGAUUGGCUUUGAACUUGUGAUAUUCCUGGCCCAGCCUCUCGAGUUGCUGGGAUUACAAGUGUUUACCACUGCACCCAGCUAAAUAUGACUUCUUGAUUUUAAAUUUUACAGAUUAUUGUAAAACAGGAAAAAUUGAUUUUCACUUAUUAUUUGCAUGUUUACAUAAACUCCCUUUAAGAAAAAUUGUAAUUGGGCUGGGGAUGUGGCUCAAGCGGUAGCGCGCUCACCUGGCGGGCGUGCGGCCCGGGUUCGAUCCUCAGCACCACAUACAAACAAAGAUGUUGUGUCCGCCGAAAACUAAAAAAUAAAUAUUAAAAAAUUAUUAAAAAAAUUUAAAAAAAAAUUGUAAUAAAAUUUACAGUACACAAUUUUUAUCGUUUGUAGCCAAAAAAAUUCAUAAGGACUAAUGUUUCAGAUAUUGUUUAACAAGUGUAUUUCUUUUUACAGAUGCCAUUACUGUUCACUUUUUUGAGAUUUACUUGAACACUAUGUAAGAAAACAAUCCACUGUGUCUUCAUGCCUUCUAUAACAGAGUCUAGGGUCAGCAAGACUGCCUUAAUCAUAUACUUGGGAGCAUGAACAGUAAACAUUGUUAAUUUUGUUGUUAAAAAAGUCUUAUUUAAGAAUUCUUUGUGGGCUGGGGUUGUGGCUCAGCAGUAGAGCGCUUGCCUAGCACCUGUGAGACUCUGGGUUUGAUCCCCAGCACUACAUAAAAUAAAUCAAUAAAGAUAUUGAG
This 1197-nucleotide long non-coding RNA is filed under the name Marmota monax (woodchuck). The record is from RNAcentral. Lineage: Eukaryota; Metazoa; Chordata; Mammalia; Rodentia; Sciuridae.